ACUUCAGAUUGCAGAUUUGCCAAAGCUUCAUGUAGAGCCCUUCUCUCUUUUAUCACGAGUAAAAGUUCAGGUUUAAAAUAGAACAACGGAUGACUAAUGCCAUUUCCAGCUGUGACUGAAUUCUCCACUGCCUGAUGCUUUUCAAAUGUAUCUGAAUCAGAAUCGAACACCCACUUUAUGCAUAGCUCCCUAAUCAGGAAGUUAUUCUUCCCAUCAAAGCAACUGGAAAGAAAAAAGAUAAAACAAUGAAGGGAGGAGAAAACACAAAAGUUCAAGAAGAGCAGAAUGUUCCGGCAAGGAGAAAAAGCUGGGAAAAGUCACCAAUGAAUGCCAGGGUUCACCACUAUCUUAGGAAUAUCAUGAAUAAAGCGUUAGAUUGGGUGUGCCCUAA
Molecule: long non-coding RNA, 391 nt
Filed under: Homo sapiens (human)
Lineage: Eukaryota; Metazoa; Chordata; Mammalia; Primates; Hominidae
Description: non-protein coding lnc-ATIC-8:2
Source: RNAcentral